GCCUGAAGCUUGAAUUGGCUUUCAAAUAUGACUCAACAACUUAAAAGCUGGAUGAUUUUAGGACUCCGCCCAGCAACGGGAAUGCUGGGCAGGAGAACCACACUCCCGAGACUAGAGACUUGAGCCUCAGACUUGCUCAGAAGUACCAAAAAGCAAAGAAAGUCUGGCCGUUAGAACUGCCACUCUGCCGUCAGAGAGAUUGGAGACUCCAGAGGCUGCAAACAGGGGAGGCAGUAACCACAGAUCCAGCUGAUUCUACCAACUACUCACUGUUCACCAGGCUAUUCCAAGAUGACAAGGCUCUCAGAGAUCAAGGAUCAGAAGUUGUCCCAAGAAAACCACUCCUAAGGGACAGGAGGAAGAGGCGACCAGUGUCUCUGUCAGUGUGUCCGUCUUUCUUUCUAAUGGACUACGAAGAGGAGGCCUCCUGAAUGGCCAGCCCAGCCC
Molecule: long non-coding RNA, 447 nt
Organism: Camelus dromedarius (Arabian camel)
Lineage: Eukaryota; Metazoa; Chordata; Mammalia; Artiodactyla; Camelidae
Exons: 4
Source: RefSeq, a predicted model, not a curated record